Molecule: ribosomal RNA, 454 nt
Filed under: uncultured bacterium
Lineage: Bacteria
Description: partial 16S ribosomal RNA
Rfam family: Bacterial small subunit ribosomal RNA
Source: RNAcentral
ACGGGAGGCAGCAGUGAGGAAUAUUGGACAAUGGGGGCAACCCUGAUCCAGCCAAACCGCGUGAGGGAUGAAGGUCCUACGGAUCGUAAACCUCUUUUAUGUGGGAAUAAUUAGUGGGACGUGUCCCACUUUGAAGGUACCACUUGAAUAAGCAUCGGCUAACUCCGUGCCAGCAGCCGCGGUAAUACGGAGGAUGCAGGCGUUAUCCGGAUUUAUUGGGUUUAAAGGGUGCGUAGGCGGCCUCUUAAGUCGGCGGUGAAAUUUCCGGGCUCAACCCGGUCACUGCCGUCGAAACUGGGGGGCUUGAGUGCGUUUGGGGUGGCUGGAAUGUGCGGUGUAGCGGUGAAAUGCAUAGAUAUCGCACAGAACGCCGAUCGCGGAGGCAGGUCACCAAGCCGCAACUGACGCUGAGGCACGAAAGCGCGGGGAGCAAACAGGAUUAGAUACCCUGGUA